UACGUAGGGCGCAAGCGUUGUCCGGAAUUAUUGGGCGUAAAGAGCUCGUAGGUGGCUUGUUGCGUCUGCCGUGAAAGCCCGUGGCUUAACUGCGGGUCUGCGGUGGAUACGGGCAGGCUAGAGGCUGGUAGGGGCAAGCGGAAUUCCUGGUGUAGCGGUGAAAUGCGCAGAUAUCAGGAGGAACACCGGUGGCGAAGGCGGCUUGCUGGGCCAGUUCUGACGCUGGAGGAGCGAAAGCGUGGGGAGCGAACAGG
This 254-nucleotide ribosomal RNA is filed under the name uncultured bacterium. Its description in RNAcentral is "partial 16S ribosomal RNA". It matches the Rfam family "Bacterial small subunit ribosomal RNA", at positions 524 to 776 of the family's 1533-position model. The record is from RNAcentral.